AUGAACCUAAAAAGUAAUUUUUGCUUAUAUUUUGACACGGAGGGAGUACAUGUCAAUUUUGAUAGUUUAAGGAUACAUUUUAUAUAUUUUACCCUUGCCUUGCAAUUAAUUGGAUUCUAAAUUUUCUCCACAAUAAUUAUUUUCCACUAAUAAAUAUAAUGUGUUGGUCCAAUUUUAAGUGGAUUUAUUCAUGCACUCUCCCAAGAAAUGACUAAUGGACUCUCCCUCGAAAUCUAUCGUGUGACUGUUUCUAGAAAGGUUUUCUUCCUCACCAUUUAAAUCAUGUAGUUCUUGAUUUAAAUCAAAUAGCGGCUCUUCAUUUAAAUCAAACAAUGGUUCUUCAUUUAAAUCAAGCGGAAAAGCAUUGAGAUCCACAACGAAAUUUUGUU
Molecule: long non-coding RNA, 389 nt
Filed under: Medicago truncatula (barrel medic)
Lineage: Eukaryota; Viridiplantae; Streptophyta; Magnoliopsida; Fabales; Fabaceae
Description: lncRNA gene13550
Source: RNAcentral